Molecule: non-coding RNA, 91 nt
Organism: Hysterangium stoloniferum
Lineage: Eukaryota; Fungi; Basidiomycota; Agaricomycetes; Hysterangiales; Hysterangiaceae
Source: the annotation of a GenBank genome assembly
GGCGCUAUGACCGAGUGGUUAAGGUGUCAGAUUUGAAUUAGCCACUAUCUGAUCCUCUUUGAGGGCGCAGGUUCAAAUCCUGCUGGCGUCG